UUUACUGAUAUUUUUUAUUGAGGUUUGUAGCUUAUGAUUUUACAUGUGAUUGUACAGAAGAUUUAAGGGGGAAAAAAAAGUUGGAAACGUUGUACAAGGGAAAAAUCCAAUAGAUUGAAAUCUGUUAAGUGUGUAUGAUAAUUUUAAUGCCAUGUGUAAAUAUAUGAGAAUGUAAGAGACCAAAGCCUGCAAUAGCUAUAUUCUAGUAUCUAAAAAAGUGAUUUUUAUCAAUGAGAAAUGGUUCAUUAUUUGUUAGUUUUUAAAAUAAACUAUCAUUUUUAAAAAGAUGUAUUUUGAAUUAGAUUUAAUGCUUGGCAAGUGGGAAAACAGUAUGAAAAAACUUUUUUAAUUAUCCUUCCAUUUUCCAAUAUAUUCACAGAAACCAUUAAGGGAAAUCAAGUUGACCCUCUCUACAAUUCUUGACUUUGUAGUUCAUAGGCAAAGAUCAGUGUUAGAAUAUACAAAUAAGACCUGUUUAUAAAUGAACACAUUCUGAUUGUCCACAGCUGCUUCAAGACAUAUCAUCUUAUAUUAUUUAGGAUGGUAAAGGAAAUCUCUAUUUUCAAAUGAGGCAUGAAAAUCAAUUUUAAAUGUUUUUUCCUAAUCUCUUGAUUCAUGAUGUCAUUCAAAACAUAAGACAUGGUGACAAAUUGAAAUUCAAGGCAUUAAAAAAUGCACUAGAGGACAAGGCAGUGGUCAGCGUAAGAAGACAUUCUGUUUAGUCACUGUAUCCUGAGUUCCAUCCCCAAAGACCUCUACCUACUACCAAAGAGUUGUUGCUAUUUUGCCUUUUGAGGUCAACCAAUAUAUUUCAUUUUGAAUCUGGCUCUAUUUUACCUGCUUCACUUUCAGAAGAAUCAGAGGAAUUCUUAACAUUUAAAAGCCAAUUUGGGUAUGGAUUUUAUACCUAUUUCCCUGCCAAUAUAUUGUGAAAUUCUGCACUCUUGGGCCAUUGAGACAAACUUAACUCCUUUAAAAUUUAAAAUUAUCCAACAUUGGGCUAACUGUAGACUUUAAUAACCUUUCCCUCAGACCACAAAAUGGAACAUUUUCC
This 1054-nucleotide long non-coding RNA is filed under the name Bos taurus (domestic cattle). RNAcentral describes it as "long non-coding RNA NONBTAT022470". Lineage: Eukaryota; Metazoa; Chordata; Mammalia; Artiodactyla; Bovidae. The record is from RNAcentral.